Molecule: non-coding RNA, 859 nt
Organism: Python bivittatus (Burmese python)
Lineage: Eukaryota; Metazoa; Chordata; Lepidosauria; Squamata; Pythonidae
Source: RefSeq, a predicted model, not a curated record
AACCAACAUUCAAGUGGAAUGGAUGAAGCAAGUUAAACCUUAUUGCCGAUAAGACAGAAGUACUGUAGCUCUACUACUGCCACCACCAUUAUGAAGGUGGGAAAGACGUGUGUAAUUCAAGACAUACUCUAAGCAUCUGAAUAAAAAGCUACUUGUGGAAUGUCUUAGCAGUACUGAAGAGACCUAUUGAAUGGGCAAAUGAUGAAAAGGGAAUGAAAACAUACUGUUUAAGCAAGAAUCUUUGUCUUUUCUUUCUACUUUUGCCUCUUGGUAUUGUAGGUGAGUGCUGCCCUUUGAUGCUACUUCUCUUAAAACUAGCAGUUUUAGCCCCAGCUGCCUUUCUCAAGUUUUAUUAUGGGACUUACAUUUCUCAGAGCAGUAGUGUCUUUUUUUUUGUUGUCGUUAAACAAAAGUGGUUAUUCCUUGCCCCUCCAAAACCCUCCUCUACUAAUGCGUAAUCAAGACGUACUGUUGAAUUAGAUUAUGUACAGUUAUUUUCAAUAACAUCUAUGUGUGGGCUAUGCGUGGGAGAGAAUUUCUUUCAGUAUAUUGAGUAUUUGCUAACAGCAAUCUGCAGCAUGGGGACAAAGCUGUGAGACUUACUUUUUUUUUUACCACCAUGUGGGUGAAUCUUGAAAAAUUUCAGCUUUUUUAUUUUUGUAAGGAAUGUGUGGGUGGAAAAGUAUGACUCAGUAUUUUUCUCAAUAGAUAAAGACAUCAUAGCUGAGUUUUGAAGGUUGUUAGCUGACCUUUAGAUAAUUCCUUUAUCUCUAACCCUGUCUUUUUAAUAAAGGAAAGCUUAUGUCAUUUAACAAAUUUUAACUAAAUAAAAUGUGAAUGCUUAUAUAUUUAUUAAAGA